GCUUACACAUGCAAGUCGAACGGUGAAGCAGAGCUUGCUCUGUGGAUCAGUGGCGAACGGGUGAGUAACACGUGAGCAAUCUGCCCCUGACUCUGGGAUAAGCGCUGGAAACGGCGUCUAAUACCGGAUACGAGCUGCGACCGCAUGGUCAGUAGCUGGAAAGAAUUUCGGUCAGGGAUGAGCUCGCGGCCUAUCAGCUUGUUGGUGAGGUAAUGGCUCACCAAGGCGUCGACGGGUAGCCGGCCUGAGAGGGUGACCGGCCACACUGGGACUGAGACACGGCCCAGACUCCUACGGGAGGCAGCAGUGGGGAAUAUUGCACAAUGGGCGCAAGCCUGAUGCAGCAACGCCGCGUGAGGGAUGACGGCCUUCGGGUUGUAAACCUCUUUUAGCAGGGAAGAAGCGAAAGUGACGGUACCUGCAGAAAAAGCGCCGGCUAACUACGUGCCAGCAGCCGCGGUAAUACGUAGGGCGCAAGCGUUAUCCGGAAUUAUUGGGCGUAAAGAGCUCGUAGGCGGUCUGUCGCGUCUGCUGUGAAAACCCGAGGCUCAACCUCGGGCCUGCAGUGGGUACGGGCAGACUAGAGUGCGGUAGGGGAGAUUGGAAUUCCUGGUGUAGCGGUGGAAUGCGCAGAUAUCAGGAGGAACACCGAUGGCGAAGGCAGAUCUCUGGGCCGUAACUGACGCUGAGGAGCGAAAGGGUGGGGAGCAAACAGGCUUAGAUACCCUGGUAGUCCACCCCGUAAACGUUGGGAACUAGUUGUGGGGUCCAUUCCACGGAUUCCGUGACGCAGCUAACGCAUUAAGUUCCCCGCCUGGGGAGUACGGCCGCAAGGCUAAAACUCAAAGGAAUUGACGGGGACCCGCACAAGCGGCGGAGCAUGCGGAUUAAUUCGAUGCAACGCGAAGAACCUUACCAAGGCUUGACAUAUAGAGGAAACGUCUGGAAACAGUCGCCCCGCAAGGUCUCUAUACAGGUGGUGCAUGGUUGUCGUCAGCUCGUGUCGUGAGAUGUUGGGUUAAGUCCCGCAACGAGCGCAACCCUCGUUCUAUGUUGCCAGCACGUAAUGGUGGGAACUCAUGGGAUACUGCCGGGGUCAACUCGGAGGAAGGUGGGGAUGACGUCAAAUCAUCAUGCCCCUUAUGUCUUGGGCUUCACGCAUGCUACAAUGGCCGGUACAAAGGGCUGCAAUACCGUGAGGUGGAGCGAAUCCCAAAAAGCCGGUCCCAGUUCGGAUUGAGGUCUGCAACUCGACCUCAUGAAGUCGGAGUCGCUAGUAAUCGCAGAUCAGCAACGCUGCGGUGAAUACGUUCCCGGGUCUUGUACACACCGCCCGUCAAGUCAUGAAAGUCGGUAACACCUGAAGCCGGUGGCCCAACCCUUGUGGAGGGAGCCGUCGAAGGUGGGAUCGGUAAUUAGGACUAAGUCGUAACAAGGUUAACCGUA
RNAcentral lists this ribosomal RNA (1446 nucleotides) under Microbacterium arborescens. RNAcentral's name for it is "bacterial SSU rRNA". It matches the Rfam family "Bacterial small subunit ribosomal RNA". The record is from RNAcentral. Lineage: Bacteria; Bacillati; Actinomycetota; Actinomycetes; Micrococcales; Microbacteriaceae.